This 255-nucleotide long non-coding RNA is filed under the name Lathyrus oleraceus (garden pea). RNAcentral describes it as "Pisum sativum (pea) long non-coding RNA (PSAT_LNC023757)". The record is from RNAcentral. Lineage: Eukaryota; Viridiplantae; Streptophyta; Magnoliopsida; Fabales; Fabaceae.
AUAGGUUUACUACUUUAGCGUUCUGGGCACCUUUUAUAAGUGACAAUAAAAUGCCUUAAUUUAAGGGUAAACUCGGUUCUGAAUAUGCGAAAGCGACAGUUUCUGUUAAAUGGAUUCUUUUCAAGAGUAGAAAAUAUUGCCCCAUAAGUAGUUCUAUUUAGACAAUCGAAACAUCGUUUAACUGACGUGAAAUACAUUCAAACCUGUCUUUAUCUGCAAUGUAUUUAUUAUUUUCUUUAUUUAUUGUUAUUUUAC